Long non-coding RNA from Engraulis encrasicolus (European anchovy), 1936 nucleotides. RefSeq lists it as uncharacterized. The transcript has 3 exons. Lineage: Eukaryota; Metazoa; Chordata; Actinopteri; Clupeiformes; Engraulidae. The record is from RefSeq and is a predicted model, not a curated record.
UGUGUGUGCACUGGUUUCCCUAAUCUCGUGAGCACUUGAGCAUGGAUGCACACCAAUCUCGCGGGCACUUGUGACCUCAUGGGUACCUAAACCCGAGUCCUCAUUAGGACAACCUAUGGAAUGGCUUUACAAUGACCUCAAAUGAAGCCUGAGUGAGAAAUUUCAGAAAGUCCCAUGAGGUGGGAUUUUGAGAGAAAAUGUGUGUGUGUGUGUGGCAGGAGGGGCAAGUUACUGACACCGGUGGCCAAACGGUGGUACUGCAGUGUGUGUGUGUAUCUGUGUCGGUCGAUCGCUGAUGACAUCACAUCAACAAGUGUGCAUACUGGACGGCUUUACGAUUACGACCUGGUGGGGACAUUGCCAUGGUAAACUUUUGUUAGUGUAAAAAGUAAGCCUAGCCUAGCCUACUUUAUUACACAGAUGGUUGGUUCAUGACUUUACAGAAAGCUAGAUAUUAAAUUGAUUUUAAAUUCAUUUAAAAUGAAAAGACAUUUUAUUUAUUUCGUUUUGGAGGGGUGGAAAGCAAGCAAGUAUGAAGGUGACGGUCAACUGUGGUUCGUAGCCUAGCAUGUAAGCUAUCAUGGAUAAUGUGUGAGUCUGCCCCGUCACCCAGCAGUCAUCCCUCCCGAUCGAAGCAUUAGCCUACAUGCCCUCGCACAUCUUAUUUAAGCCCAAAUACAGCCUUUUACCGGUCACAUCCCCCGCACGAAACAUCGCCGCCAUUUUAUCCGACCUGUUCCACACACACAUCUUUUCUAAGUGCCCACCAUGAUACCCCCAUGCCAGGCCAGCCCCCACUAUACUUUAUGUUUUGGCCGCCAUUUCGUCUAAAACGUUCCAUACACCCCUUGUCUGAGUCCUCAGAUGCCCACCUCCCAGACUCUCACGCGCCAAACGUUCCACGCACACCCCCUGCAAGUGCCCACUUUGACCGUGGUGUCACCGGUACCGGCUACCACCUUGCCCCCUCCCAUCUCAACAGUAGACCAGACUGUAGGCGCUGUCGCUGCCGCCAUUUCUUUCACAAUGUACCGAUAAUGUGUUUUUUUACCGCCAUUUUAUCACAUACGUUCGAUGCACCUCUUGCCUGGGUACCCACAUAACCCCGUGCCAGCCCACACCUUCCUAUUAAAGUUCCAUACACACCUUGUGUGGGUACCCACUGACUCCGUACAGGCUAGCCCCCUCCCCCUCCCACCCAGCUAGAGCGUAAAUUCAAGUGAUAAUCCUCCCAGUCAAUCACUCCCUCUGGUCGGCUCAAGUUGAAGUUCGUCGAACGUCCUGGAUUUGCGUUAUAUGCAGCAGCAUCUUUUACCACUGGAAAGUUAAACGGUAAGUAUAUUGCUCAGCGUUUAAACAUCUGCGAAUAACACCAUUCAAUCUGAGUGCAUAUUUUGAAAUAAACGGAUUCAUUGCGCAUAUGCUAAGCACUGUAUUUGACGUCCUGGGAUCAGUGCAUUCGGAAGCCCUUCUCUUUACCAUAUCAGUUUUGAUUUUGUUAAGGCAUUUACAUUAAUUUCUCCAUUAGGGCAGAUGAAACUGUUUGACUAUGGACAAAUCCCGAGAAGAAAAGACAUCGUCCGACGAGACGAAGCAGAGAAUGCUGAGAUUCAAGAAACGUCUCAAAGGUCUAAUAAAUCACCAUGACAUGUGCCAAGCACGCUAUGAAAACAGGAUGUCAAAUGCAAAGGACGGUGCUAAUGCUUUGAAUCAUCCGAAUAUGACAACAACAUUGAAGAAUUCAGGAGCAUCACUCUCUGUAAGUAACAUUCCUAAUGUACAGUUUUUAGCAUACAAUGUGCAUAUUGAUAACAUGGGGUAACUGAGGUGUUCCUGCACAGUCCGCCACCUCCUAGUCCAAUAGCUCAGUGCUACGAUAAUGUGUGAGGCUUCAGGGAGGAGGUUUACUUACAUUCCACGCCACACUCUGCUAGUU